This is a transfer RNA of Camelus ferus (Wild Bactrian camel), 73 nucleotides long. It matches the Rfam family "tRNA". From Rfam's summary of the family: Transfer RNA (tRNA) molecules are approximately 80 nucleotides in length. Their secondary structure includes four short double-helical elements and three loops (D, anti-codon, and T loops). The record is from Rfam. Lineage: Eukaryota; Metazoa; Chordata; Mammalia; Artiodactyla; Camelidae.
GAGGGUAUAGCUCAAGCGGUAGGGCACAUGCUUAGCAUGCAUCAGGUCCUGGGUUCAAUCCCCAGUGCCUCCU